RNAcentral lists this ribosomal RNA (468 nucleotides) under uncultured bacterium. RNAcentral's name for it is "partial 16S ribosomal RNA". It matches the Rfam family "Bacterial small subunit ribosomal RNA", at positions 28 to 507 of the family's 1533-position model. The record is from RNAcentral.
GAUGAACGCUGGCGGCGUGCUUAACACAUGCAAGUCGAACGGUGAAGGCGGAGCUUGCUCUGCUGGAUCAGUGGCGAACGGGUGAGUAACACGUGAGCAAUCUGCCCCUGACUCUGGGAUAAGCGCUGGAAACGGCGUCUAAUACUGGAUACGAGCUGCGAAGGCAUCUUCAGCAGCUGGAAAGAACUUCGGUCAGGGAUGAGCUCGCGGCCUAUCAGCUUGUUGGUGAGGUAACGGCUCACCAAGGCGUCGACGGGUAGCCGGCCUGAGAGGGUGACCGGCCACACUGGGACUGCGACACGCCCCAGACUCCUACGGGAGGCAGCAGUGGGGAAUAUUGCACAAUGGGCGAAAGCCUGAUGCAGCAACGCCGCGUGAGGGACGACGGCCUUCGGGUUGUAAACCUCUUUUAGCAGGGAAGAAGCGAAAGUGACGGUACCUGCAGAAAAAGCGCCGGCUAACUACGUG